CUAACUCCGUGCCAGCAGCCGCGGUAAUACGGAGGGUGCAAGCGUUGUCCGGAAUCAUUGGGCGUAAAGAGUUCGUAGGUGGUUUGUUAAGUUUGGUGUUAAAUGCAGAGGCUCAACUUCUGUUCGGCAUCGGAUACUGGCAGACUAGAAUGCGGUAGAGGUAAAGGGAAUUCCUGGUGUAGCGGUGAAAUGCGUAGAUAUCAGGAGGAACAUCGGUGGCGUAAGCGCUUUACUGGGCCGUAAUUGACACUGAGGAACGAAAGCCAGGGUAGCAAAUGGGAUUAGAUACCCCAGUAGUCCUGGCCGUAAACGAUGGAUACUAGGUGUUGCGGGUAUCGACCCCUGCAGUGCCGUAGCAAACGCGUUAAGUAUCCCGCCUGGGGAGUACGCACGCAAGUGUGAAACUCAAAGGAAUUGACGGGGACCCGCACAAGCGGUGGAACAUGUGGUUUAAUUCGAAGCAACGCGAAGAACCUUACCAGGGCUUGACAUCUAACAAACCUUUGUGAAAGCAGAGGGUGCUCUUCGGAGAAUGUUAAGACAGGUGGUGCACGGUUGUCGUCAGCUCGUGUCGUGAGAUGUUGGGUUAAGUCCCGCAACGAGCGCAACCCCCGUCGUUAGUUGGUACUAUCGGUAUACUUAUAGUAACCUCUCUAGCGAGACUGCCGGUGAUAAACCGGAGGAAGGUGAGGACGACGUCAAAUCAUCAUGCCCCUUAUGCUCUGGGCUACACACGUGUUACAAUGGCCGGUACAAUGAGCCGCCAACUCGCGAGAGUGAGCAAAUCUCUAAAAGCCGGUCUCAGUUCGGAUUGCAGUCUGCAACUCGACUGCAUGAAGUCGGAAUCGCUAGUAAACGCAGAUCAGCACGCUGCGUUGAAUACGUUCCCGGGUCUUGUACACACCGCCCGUCACACCAUGGAAGUCGACCACGCCCGAAGUACGUGAGCUAACCGUAAGGAAGCAGCGUCCUAAGGCAGGGUUGGUGACUGGGGUGAAGUCGUAACAAGGUAGCCGUACCGGAAGGUGUGGCUG
This 1034-nucleotide ribosomal RNA is filed under the name human gut metagenome. RNAcentral's name for it is "bacterial SSU rRNA". It matches the Rfam family "Bacterial small subunit ribosomal RNA", at positions 497 to 1520 of the family's 1533-position model. The record is from RNAcentral.